Molecule: transfer RNA, 84 nt
Filed under: Fidelibacterota bacterium
Lineage: Bacteria; Pseudomonadati; Fidelibacterota
Description: tRNA-Leu
Rfam family: tRNA
About the family: Transfer RNA (tRNA) molecules are approximately 80 nucleotides in length. Their secondary structure includes four short double-helical elements and three loops (D, anti-codon, and T loops). Further hydrogen bonds mediate the characteristic L-shaped molecular structure. tRNAs have two regions of fundamental functional importance: the anti-codon, which is responsible for specific mRNA codon recognition, and the 3' end, to which the tRNAs corresponding amino acid is attached (by aminoacyl-tRNA synthetases). tRNAs cope with the degeneracy of the genetic code in two manners: having more than one tRNA (with a specific anti-codon) for a particular amino acid; and 'wobble' base-pairing, i.e. permitting non-standard base-pairing at the 3rd anti-codon position.
Source: RNAcentral
GCUGAAGUGGUGGAACUGGUAGACACGCUGUCUUGAGGGGGCAGUGGGAUCACUCUCGUGCGGGUUCGAGUCCCGCCUUCAGCA